UUUUUUUGCUGUUGUUUAGCCCCACCUGUUUCCGUAUCUCGGCCUCCUCACAAGGUAUAUCAGCUGCUUCACACCGAGACCAUUUUCCUUUGCUCAGACGUACUCGCAGAUUUCGUCGUCUCAGAAUAUUUCACCUCCACAUCCAACACUGACAUUGCGUUUCUUCCAGAUGGCGGUCUCCAGGAUGCGGUCCGCCUGGGCGGCUCUCUGCAUCGCCGUGCUAGUGAUGUCAGGCUCUGCUGAAGGUGCUAGUUUGGUGACGUUAAAAGCGGCGAACACAGAACCGUCAUACUCUUAUGACUUAACCAUGGACGUCACCAACCGCAUCUACAGUGAUUCUCUCCUCAACCCUUACUCUGACGACUAUAAUAUGAUGUUUGGGGAAGUUAGCACUGCGCUCUACUCUGUCUACGGCUGCCCCACUUGCGACACACGCACAUUUUAUCAAGGUGUGACAGCCAUGACCUUCAGUGACAAGGCUGGAUCUGUGGUUGUUCAGGCCACCAUCAUGUUCUACUCAGACCAAACCAAUGCCAUGGUGAUCAAGUACCUAUUUCUGCAGGCCGUCAAUAGCAGAAAUGAAAUAAAUGGCCUGAGAAUCAACCCUGGAUUCACACAGGUGUCUUCACAAUCCACAAGCGUUUCCCAUCCAACCACCACUCCAACCACCACUCCAACCACCACUCCAACCACUACCCCAACCACUACUCCAACCACUACUCCAACCACUACUCGUCUAAUAACAUGUGACCCAUAUUAACCAAUCAUGAUGUCAUUCAGAUAAUUAUGUCAUGUCUUACCACUACUCCAACCACUACUCCAACCACUACUUCAACCACUAGUCCAACCACUACUCCAACCACUACUCCAACCCCUACUCCAACCACUACUUCAACCACUACUACAACCACUACUACAACCCCUACUCCAACCACUACUUCAACCACUACUCCAACCACUAUUCUAACUACUCGUACCACCACUCCUACAACAACUACAACCACUACUCUAGUCUAUUAAAACAGGGUGAACCCAUUCCUUUAACCGAUCUCCUGCCAUUACUAAAACUACUUAAUCAGAUUGUUUAAAAAAGAAAAAGAAAAAAAGAAACAGAUUGCAUGUAGUUAAUCAUAUGACAUGAUAUUAAAUUCAUAUUAAAACAGACGACACAUGAAACCCUUGAAAGGCUCGAUUAAAGUAUAAUAUUCUAUCAGUAAAGAGCAACCUUUUUUUCACACCUCCUGUGUUCAAACACCAUCUGAGUCACCGUCCAAUGGGCAAUCUGUAUUUUCUCUCCCAUUACCAUGGUAGAAAUGGGAUUUAGAAAUGUUCCGUUUUCUGAAGUCUAUACUUCAUAGCCUACCCAUUAACCUCCUACAACUACCUCACCUCUCAAUCACAAUACAUUUACAGAGUGGGAAUGAAAUAGUCCCUGCCCACGAGAUGUCAUGUGACCACAUGUCAAAAGGACAAUGUUAAAAUCACUUUUGUUUGUUCAGAAAUGACUUAAAUAUCUGAUAAUCACCUGACAUCUUAAGAGCAUGUGUUUGUUACUCCUUAACAAACUUUUAACAUCGAUCAUUGCUCUUGUAUUUCUUAUAUGAUUCAAGAACCUAUGUUGUAAACCUGCCUUCACAAUUUUUACAUCAUUCUUCCUCUAUUCAGUAUCUUUCUUCUUUCUUUUUUCUUUUCAUUAAUGUCAUUUUCAUUAAUCAUUAGAGGAAUAGAUGCAGAUUUGUCUACAAUGUCUCAAUGCCUGUUGUAAACAGCACAAAACUAAUAAAAUGGGAUUAUACAAGCUUGAAAUUUUU
Molecule: long non-coding RNA, 1811 nt
Organism: Ictalurus punctatus (channel catfish)
Lineage: Eukaryota; Metazoa; Chordata; Actinopteri; Siluriformes; Ictaluridae
Source: Ensembl